Molecule: ribosomal RNA, 253 nt
Filed under: uncultured bacterium
Lineage: Bacteria
Description: partial 16S ribosomal RNA
Rfam family: Bacterial small subunit ribosomal RNA
Source: RNAcentral
UACGUAGGAGGCAAGCGUUGUCCGGAAUUACUGGGCGUAAAGUGUGCGCAGGUGGCCGCGCAAGUCGAGUGUGAAAUCCCCGAGCUUAACUUGGGAAUUGCGCUCGAAACUACGUGGCUCGAGUGUGGCAGAGGAAGGUGGAAUUCCACGUGUAGCGGUGAAAUGCGUAGAGAUGUGGAGGAACACCGAUGGCGAAGGCAGCCUUCUGGGCCAACACUGACGCUCAUGCACGAAAGCGUGGGGAGCAGACAGG